Molecule: long non-coding RNA, 357 nt
Organism: Drosophila subobscura
Lineage: Eukaryota; Metazoa; Arthropoda; Insecta; Diptera; Drosophilidae
Exons: 3
Source: RefSeq, a predicted model, not a curated record
UAACGUAAUGAGGUUUAUCGUAUUCCUACUGCUGGCUCUACCUUUGGCGACUUGUAUGCAAAUUGGAAGAAACUGCGCUACUUUUUUUGCGACUCGCUGGACAAAAUGCAGCACGGCUGAAUGCCAAGAAGAAGCCGUCGAUGCCUAUAGAAGCGAGUAGUCAAAAUAACAUGAUUUGUUCAUAAUUAUAUUUAUUUUCCGCUUUUCAGCAUGUAAUCCAAACGGAGUGUGUUGGCGAUUAUUAGUACACGAUAAUGUAGAAAUAUUAACUUAGAUUUAAAUAUAAAACGGAUUAUAAAUGGAAGUACAACUUAGACAGUGAAAAUGAUUAUAGAUUAAUUGUCAAUUUUAAAUAUA